GCAGAGAAACCGCGGUUCUCCGCGACCUCGCCUCCUCUCUCUCUUCUCACCGCUCCCCUCCUCCUCCUCCCCCCUCCUCGAGCAGGGGGGCGGGGCGGCGGCAUCCCGAUGCUUACUCCUCGCGGCGGCGUGCCUCCCGCGGCCUCGUUCGAUCCCCCGGAAGCGGCCUGGGCGGGUGGGUGGAGGCCGCGGCGCGGUGGGGGGAUUUUUUUUUUCUUCAGCUGCCUGCUCGAGCUCGCAAACAUUGCGGCCAGACAGGUGCUGGAAAGGUGAUGCCCCAUGUUCUCAGUACUUGUUAGGUGUAUUGAUGGCCAGAAGGCAGCCCUCGGUUUAGGCUGCCACUUUCUAGUAUAUGACUGUCUUCCAUGGUGUUAAGACACGACAUGGAAGUAUCGAUUAUUGGUUUUUCAUCCCACUCUUCAUGCAGCAUUUGAUUGAUGAUGAGGUAAAGGAAAUCAGCAAUGAAGUUUGAACCGAAUUUAAGAUGAUUAACACAUUGAGGUGAGUGCUUCCAACUUCCAAGGAGGAUAGAUUAACAUCAUAUCACUGGUCGGAAAGACAAUA
Long non-coding RNA from Oryza brachyantha (malo sina), 564 nucleotides. RefSeq lists it as uncharacterized. The transcript has 4 exons. The record is from RefSeq and is a predicted model, not a curated record. Lineage: Eukaryota; Viridiplantae; Streptophyta; Magnoliopsida; Poales; Poaceae.